Molecule: ribosomal RNA, 479 nt
Filed under: uncultured bacterium
Lineage: Bacteria
Description: bacterial SSU rRNA
Rfam family: Bacterial small subunit ribosomal RNA
Source: RNAcentral
GACGAACGCUGGCGGCGUGCCUAACACAUGCAAGUCGAGCGGGAAGCUUUUAAUUGAGACUUCGGUUGAUUUUAGAAGUGGAGAGCGGCGACGGGUGAGUAACGCGUGAGUAACCUGCCCAUAAGAGGGGGAUAACAAUCGGAAACGGUUGCUAAUACCGCAUAACAUAUACGAAUCGCAUGGUUUGUAUAUCAAAGAUUUAUCGCUUAUGGAUGGACUCGCGUCCAAUUAGCUAGUAGGCGGGGUAACGGCCCACCAAGCCGACGAUCAGUAGCCGGACUGAGAGGUUGAACGGCCACAUUGGAACUGAGAUACGGUCCAGACUCCUACGGGAGGCAGCAGUGGGGAAUAUUGGGCAAUGGGGGAAACCCUGACCCAGCAACGCCGCGUGAAGGAAGAAGGCCUUCGGGUUGUAAACUUCUUUUACCAGGGACGAAGAACGUGACGGUACCUGGAGAAAAGCAACGGCUAACUACGUG